This 773-nucleotide long non-coding RNA is filed under the name Marmota monax (woodchuck). Lineage: Eukaryota; Metazoa; Chordata; Mammalia; Rodentia; Sciuridae. The record is from RNAcentral.
UGUAUGCAAAAUAAAAGCAUUUUUCAGUGGAUAAAAAAGUAGAAUAAAUUCUAAAUUAAAUGUUAGAAAUAAAUAAAAUGGCAGGAAAAAUCAUAUUCCUGAAACAACACUGAAUUAAACAGUCUAAACUCUCCAAUUAAGACAGAUUGGCUGGCUGGAGUUGGGGCUCAGUGGUAGAGUGCUUGCCUAGCAUGUGUGAGGCACUGGGUUUGAUUCAAGCAAUUAAAUAAAUAAAGGUCCAUCAAUAAUUAGUAAAAAUAUUUAUAAAAAGACAUAGAUUGGCAUAUGGGAUUAAAAAACAAGACCCAAUAAUAUGCUAUUUGCAAGAGACACAUCUUACAGACAAAGACAUCCACAGACUUAAAAUAAAAUGAUGAGAAAGGAUAUACCAUGUAAAUUGUAGCUAGAAGUGAGCAGGGAACUACUUUCAUAUGAGAUAAAGUGAACUUCAAAGGAUCAAUGAAACAAAGAUUUGGUUUCCUUUUUUUGAAAGUACACAUAAGAUUGAUAAACCAUAGCCAAACUUAGGCAGUGUAGACCUAAAUUAACUAAACUAAAGAUGAAAAAAGAGAUAUUAUUACAAAUACUACAGGCAAAGAUGAUGCAUAAAACCUAUUCGGGUAAGCUAAAACAUCUUGAAUUUAUUGACAAAUUCCUAAAGACAUAUGACCUACCCCAAUUGAACCAUGAGGAUAUAGACAAUUGAAGAAUAUUAAUAUCAAGUAACUAAAUUGAAGCAACUAUUAAAAGCUUUCAAACAAAGAAAAGCUCAG